AGAGUUUGAUCAUGGCUCAGGACGAACGCUGGCGGCGUGCUUAACACAUGCAAGUCGAGCGCAUUCAGAGGUCGGUCAUCAGAGGUCAGAAGUUAGCUAUUGUCUUUUGGUUUCAAGCUGACAGGGGUUGUGGAGUUUAGCUGUUUAAUUUAAUUUAUUUUUGCGGAUGAAGGUUUGGCAAGAUCUUUUUCUGGCUUCUGACGACCGACUUCUGAGGUGAGCGGCGGACGGGUGAGUAACGCGUGGGUGACCUGCCUGGGAGACCGGGAUAACAGUUCGAAAGGGCUGCUAAUACCGGAUGAUAUCGUUUUAUUAGGGUAAAACGAUCAAAGCGUUUAGCGCUCUCGGAUGGGCCCGCGUCCCAUUAGUUAGUUGGCAGGGUAAUGGCCUACCAAGGCUGCGAUGGGUAGCCGGUCUGAGAGGAUGGUCGGCCACACUGGGACUGAGACACGGCCCAGACUCCUACGGGAGGCAGCAGUGGGGAAUCUUGCGCAAUGGAGGGAACUCUGACGCAGCGACGUCGCGUGAGCGAAGAAGGUCUUCGGAUCGUAAAGCUCUGUCUUUGGGGACGAAGGAAGUGACGGUACCCAAGGAGGAAGCCCCGGCUAACUACGUGCCAGCCGCCGCGGUAAUAC
RNAcentral lists this ribosomal RNA (635 nucleotides) under uncultured Bacillota bacterium. RNAcentral describes it as "bacterial SSU rRNA". It matches the Rfam family "Bacterial small subunit ribosomal RNA", at positions 8 to 526 of the family's 1533-position model. The record is from RNAcentral. Lineage: Bacteria; Bacillati; Bacillota.